Zalophus californianus (California sea lion) is the source of this 1529-nucleotide long non-coding RNA. RefSeq lists it as uncharacterized. The transcript has 3 exons. NCBI's taxonomy places the organism in Eukaryota, Metazoa, Chordata, Mammalia, Carnivora, Otariidae. The record is from RefSeq and is a predicted model, not a curated record.
CCGGGACAGCGCGGGCCGGGGCCACGGGAGAGGAGAGGAGAGGAAGAGGAGGAGGAGGAAGAGAGGAGAGGAGGGCGGAGGCCGGGCGCAAGGCGAAGUCUCAGACACCUUGGAGAGCCGGCCCUCAGCCCCUGGAGUCCUGAGCCAGAUCUGGGAGCCUGCCCAGCCCUGCUCAGUGGAUGGGAAACAGGCGGAGCCCGUCCGGGGCUAUGCCCACCACGUCGUGGACCAGGUGCCCGGCACCUCUCAGGCUUCGGCCACACAAUGCCAGAGGAACGUAAAGAGGAACUGAGAAAGAUCCCCCAAGCUCUGUGGUCUCCUCACAGCAGGCUGACGUCACCUGGCCUGGGGCUAGAAAGAGGCAGGCCUGGCCCAACCCUGGUGCCAAGGUCACACCAGCUUCCCCAGGGCCACAGCCGGUAGUGACCACAGAAUGUGGAACCAGGUGGCCCCCAGGAUUUCCCGAGAGGUCCGGAUGCCCUGGCUCCAGCUAUCCAGGAGGGCAGGCUGGGGAAGUAGCCCACCCCCAGGCCAGAUUCAGCCUCCAGGCUGGCUCCCUUCCUUAAGGAAGGAAGCCACCCCACUCCCAGCGCCUGCUCCAGGCACCCAGGGGAGUCCGAGCUCUCCUCCCUAGCAGGGACUGCCUGGUGCUAUGAACACCUGUCUGCCCUCGGCUCCCUAAGGGCAGAGGACCUAGUAGGUGCUUCAUAAAUGAGCAGGAGCCGAGCCUGCACCAGGCCCCUGCGUGACCCUGCCCUCCCCCAGCACUGUCCAGGUCAGGGGCUGGGCUUAGAGGGCCAUUCCCACUGCCUUUGGUGCCCACCCUGCCACCACCAUGGGGGCCAGUUGAGCUCAGACAGGUGGGUCCCAGGCCCCCUCCCAGUGAUAAGCCUAACGGAUUGUGACAUUGAGUCCUGCCUCCAAGGACUGGGAAUGGCAGGCCCCCACACCUCGUGUCACACAGUGUGGCAAUAGCGGCCCCUCUUCGCUGGGGCCAAGCGCUGCCCAGGAGAGCUUUCCUGCAUCCCCUUGCUGGGCCUCACCUGUAGUGCAGGGGAGGGAGGGGGAGGGAGCUGAUAGCGGGAGCCUGGGGAAGCCACCAGGGCCACGCGUAGUGGGGGAGGGAGCAAGGUUUGACUCACCCUCCUCCCGCUGCCUGGCUUUCUCUUUGCUUUCCCUCAGGGCUUUCUGCUUCUCUUUCUCCAAGGGCCGCGUGGACACCUCCCCUCCCGGGCUUGUUAGGGCAGGGAGGUGACCUUCUCUGAGUAUGUGACCCUGAAUCCGGUCAAGGAUGGUACCCAUCAGCUCACUGACCUGCCGGUCCCAACAGUGUGGCUGGGUCCCUUCCCCCAAGCCGGGGACGGACCUGGGGGCGGACAGCUGAGGGGCUGGGGGCUGGGAGUCUGAGAGAAGGCCCAGGCCUCCACCCCAAGGGCCCCCCCGCCAAGUGUGCAAACCUCUGUCUGAGUACAAUAACCAAGCUCUACUUUUGUAAUUAAAAAUAUAUUCCAAGGAGAAAAAGAAACAAA